GGAUUGUGGCUCAGCGGUAGAGCGCCCGCCUUGCAUGUGCAAGGCCCUGGGUUCGAUCCUGAGCACCA
RNAcentral lists this transfer RNA (68 nucleotides) under Marmota monax (woodchuck). RNAcentral describes it as "tRNA.Ala". The record is from RNAcentral. Lineage: Eukaryota; Metazoa; Chordata; Mammalia; Rodentia; Sciuridae.